AUGGGCCUCAUGGCCGGGAUGCUCCCUGGCGUCGAGUUCGCGAGGAGGCGACGGCUCCGGCCGGCGCCGGAGGCCCCGUGCGCCGGCGCGCGGCGGCCGGCGUUGAUGGGCGUGUUCGGGCAUGACCACGCCCACCUCGGCUCGGCAGGUUUUGCGAAGCAGAGGAGCGGCGUGUGCGAGGAGGCGUGGGCGACGCAGCUGGACAGCAUCGCCCGGGAGGCCAAGGAGAGGCUGGAUCACAAGCUCAGGAGCCAGAGAGAAUCUGUGGUCAAGAGGCGCCACAGCACGGGAAGCCUCCGGCUCCCGGUCCCGUCGAGCACCACCAGCGACCACCCGGCGAAGGACACGGCAGGGGCGGCGAGCACGCUGCAGCGAGAGGUGUUCACGAAGAGAGGCGGCGGCCGGCGGUUCAGCUGGGGCCGGAGGAAGGAGCAGCAGCAGCAGGCGGAGUGCGCGGUGUGCCUGGAGGAGUUCCGGGCGGGGGACGUGCUGGCGCACCUCCCCUGCGCGCACCGCUUCCACUGGGCCUGCGCCGUGCCCUGGGUCCAGGCCGCCUCCCGCUGCCCCUUCUGCCGCGCCGCCGUCCGCCUCGCCGACCACCAGCUUCUCUAG
RNAcentral lists this ribosomal RNA (612 nucleotides) under Triticum aestivum (bread wheat). Its description in RNAcentral is "partial small subunit ribosomal RNA". Lineage: Eukaryota; Viridiplantae; Streptophyta; Magnoliopsida; Poales; Poaceae. The record is from RNAcentral.